This 755-nucleotide ribosomal RNA is filed under the name uncultured archaeon. Its description in RNAcentral is "bacterial SSU rRNA". It matches the Rfam family "Archaeal small subunit ribosomal RNA", at positions 102 to 857 of the family's 1478-position model. The record is from RNAcentral.
GGAUAACCUACCCUUAGGACUGGGAUAACCCUGGGAAACUGGGGAUAAUACUGGAUAGGCAAUUUUUCCUGGAAUGGUUUUUUGUUUAAAUGUUUUUUCGCCUAAGGAUGGGUCUGCGGCCGAUUAGGUAGUUGGUUAGGUAAUGGCUUACCAAGCCAUUGAUCGGUACGGGUUGUGAGAGCAAGAGCCCGGAGAUGGAACCUGAGACAAGGUUCCAGGCCCUACGGGGUGCAGCAGGCGCGAAACCUCCGCAAUGUGAGAAAUCGCGACGGGGGGAUCCCAAGUGCCAUUCUUAACGGGAUGGCUUUUCAUUAGUGUAAAGAGCUUUUGGAAUAAGGGCUGGGCAAGACCGGUGCCAGCCGCCGCGGUAACACCGGCAGCUCUAGUGGUAGCAGUUUUUAUUGGGCCUAAAGCGUCCGUAGCCGGUUUAAUAAGUCUCUGGUGAAAUCCUGUAGCUUAACUGUGGGAAUUGCUGGAGAUACUAUUAGACUUGAGACCGGGAGAGGUUAGAGGUACUCCCAGGGUAGAGGUGAAAUUCUGUAAUCCUGGGAGGACCGCCUGUUGCGAAGGCGUCUAACUGGAACGGUUCUGACGGUGAGGGACGAAAGUUAGGGGCGCGAACCGGAUUAGAUACCCGGGUAGUCCUAACUGUAAACGAUGCGGACUUGGUGUUGGGGUGACUUUGAGCUGCUCCAGUGCCGAAGGGAAGCUGUUAAGUCCGCCGCCUGGGAAGUACGGUCGCAAGACUGAAACUU